GGGGAUGUGGCUCAGUGAUAAGAGUUUUUGCCUAGCAUGCAUGAGGCCCUGUGUUUGAUUCCUAGUACCACCA
This 73-nucleotide transfer RNA is filed under the name Marmota monax (woodchuck). It matches the Rfam family "tRNA". Rfam says of the family: Transfer RNA (tRNA) molecules are approximately 80 nucleotides in length. Their secondary structure includes four short double-helical elements and three loops (D, anti-codon, and T loops). Further hydrogen bonds mediate the characteristic L-shaped molecular structure. tRNAs have two regions of fundamental functional importance: the anti-codon, which is responsible for specific mRNA codon recognition, and the 3' end, to which the tRNAs corresponding amino acid is attached (by aminoacyl-tRNA synthetases). tRNAs cope with the degeneracy of the genetic code in two manners: having more than one tRNA (with a specific anti-codon) for a particular amino acid; and 'wobble' base-pairing, i.e. permitting non-standard base-pairing at the 3rd anti-codon position. The record is from Rfam by way of RNAcentral. RNAcentral also lists the same sequence under 3 other names. Lineage: Eukaryota; Metazoa; Chordata; Mammalia; Rodentia; Sciuridae.